This 331-nucleotide long non-coding RNA is filed under the name Volvox carteri. RNAcentral's name for it is "long non-coding RNA (VCAR_LNC002598)". Lineage: Eukaryota; Viridiplantae; Chlorophyta; Chlorophyceae; Chlamydomonadales; Volvocaceae. The record is from RNAcentral.
UCUCUCAACGCUUUUGUCUGUUGUUCUGCAAGUACAGGGCCAGUCUGCGAUGGGCCAGCAUGGUCCCAGACGCUGGGACGGACGGGACCUACCAUUCGCGCUUUAGCAGGGAGCAUCGGAUUGGCCCCGAGAGUAGGAGGGAGGCGAACGGGCAACUCAUCGGCAUGUUGGCAUUUACCAUCCUUAUCUUGCUCAGAAGCUGAAACUGUUCCUCGUACCAACUGUUUACAUAAUAAAGGAUUCGUGCUGUUAAUGGUGUGAAGUGCAUCGAAAAGUUUGCAACCUACCAGCGUGGAGAUCAAGCGUUAGUCAGAGAGGCAGGACAGAGAGC